Molecule: long non-coding RNA, 2412 nt
Organism: Mustela lutreola (European mink)
Lineage: Eukaryota; Metazoa; Chordata; Mammalia; Carnivora; Mustelidae
Exons: 3
Source: RefSeq, a predicted model, not a curated record
UGGGAUCUGACUGGAGGAUAGGGCCCAGGAAUGCUCACUUAAAGGGCCUCCGGGUGAUCUCUCCGUGCAGCCCUUGGGCACUGACCCCGCUGGAGAACCAGCAGUCCAUGCUCAGAGACUGUCUUUGCAGAGAGAGCAUAGUCUCUGACCCCAGGCUUGCCCCUGUGCUGGGUCCCCCAUGACCCUCUUGUGUGGGUCACUCCAGAGGGUCUAAGCUGCGGUGUGGUGGGCACUGGCUUGGUCAGCUGGAGACUUGCAUUCGGCUCUCGCCCUACUGCAGAUUUGCUGUGGGACCUAAGCUGUGGUUCGCACCACAGCAGUGACGUACCCGAAACCUGGACUCAGUCUUGUGCCCACGGGGGUGAGGGCUUCUCCGUAGUUCUGGGGCUCUGUGCUCCCACAGAGGUGAGGCUGAAGACUGGCGCUGGAGACACAGCCCUGCUGGGCCGGGGUGGUGGGUGGAAGCCGGAAGGUUCUGUCCUGGGCUAUCAAUUCAGCACAGUCCGGGCACUGCCGGGAAGGGACUUUGCAAGGGAAAUUGGGUUUUGGGUCAGCUGGCUUUAACUGGUGGUCUUGGGUGGUCGGAGGCCUCCAGUUCCGUCACGUGGAUCCUUCAAAGCCAAAGAGGAAGGCGGGAGAGUCAGCGAGAUGAGCCAGAGGAGGGCCAGGAGCCUGAAUCCCGAGAAGGGCUUUGCCUGCCAUCGCUGGCUUCGAAGGGGUCAAGGGCCAAGGCACAUGGGCGGCCCUCCGGAAAUAGAACGGCCCCAGCCGGCGGCCCGCGGGGAAGCCGGGACCUCAGUCCCACCUGCUGACACCUCUGCCACCAACCUGAGUCAGCUGGGGAGCCGACUCGUUCCCACAACCCCCCUGAAGCGGACAGUGUGGCUGACCCCGUGAACCUGGCUGUGUGAGGCGGGAGUGGAGGAGCCCGCCGAAGCCUCGAGGACUUCUGACCGUCCGAGCUGUGAGGACGUGUAUUCGUGUCGUGUUAAGCCCCUAAGGUUGAGGUAAUUGGUGCGCAGCAGGGCGACACCAACGCCGCGGGUGACGGGCAAGGAGGCUGGGACGUGUUCGCACUUCUGGGGCCUAGGAGGCUAGGAGAAGGGGAGCAGCUUGCACCCUCCGCACUCAGGAGUCAUUACUGCCUUCGUGGACGUGGCAGACCCAGUGCCAGCUGCUUGAGGUGAGCAGACUUUUCUCGGUGCUCACUAUGUGUCCCCAUUCUACAGAUGAAAUGACUGAGGCACAUAGGCAACUUGCCUAAGGCCACACAACUAAGGACGGAGCUGGGGUUUGAACUGCUGGCCAGCUGAAUCCAGAGUCCUGCUCCUCAGAGGGCAAAAACAGAAGGUGACGUUCUUGGGAAGGGAUGAAACCGGCUCACGUCCGACAGAUGAGUGACUGUCUUUUGGGGAAAGGACCAGAGCAUCCUGUGGUGGGAACAGAAACCGCCCCCUCGAGCAGCCAGGACGGCCCCGAGCCCGUGAGACCCCGUGACUGACCCCGGGACAGUGACAGACCUGACCUUCACCGCCUACCUGCCCACGACCUCCUCCUGUAGGCCUGGAGCUGUUUUCCACCCUUGGGGCGCUGGUCCGAGGGCUUCCCGGGCCUGGCUCCGCGCAACGAACGCCUGUCCUGUCUCACCCCCGCCGUCUCCCUGCCUUUGAUGCUGCCAGCGGUGCGUGGCUGACCUGGUCCGUCGGGGACCCCACCCCACGCUUGCCUUUCGAGGCUGUCUUGCACAUAGAGCAUGCGUGUGUACAUCCACCGACGGGCGCGCGGCCGCAGACUCCUGCCGGCUGCUGGGAACGCGGGUGUGGUUUAUCUUCGAGAACCUGCUUACUGCUCUCUGCGCUCCCGCCCGGGCGUGGGAUGGCUGUGGUGUUGGUAUUUUUAAAGGGAUUUAACAAAUCAUGUUGAAAGACUUCCCUGAAGUUUUAGUCUUCAAUGCACUAAUCAGUAACUAAAAUUAUAGCGACUGAUAGAAACAACUUACGUGGGUUUUGGGGGGAAAUUCUCAAAGGAGUUUUUAAAAAUAAGGUAUUUAUUUAUUUGCGAGAGAGCGGGGGAGAGCACAAGUGGAGGAGCAGCAGACAGAGGGGGAAGCAGGCUCCCCGCCGAGCAGAGAGCCCGAUGCGGGGCUGGAUCCCAGGACGCGGAGAUCAGGACCUGAGCUGAAGGCAGACGCUUCACAGACUGAGCCCCUGAGGUGCCCCAGAGUUCUCAGCAGUUUUGUGGUUGGAGAGAACGUUGGCUCAGGAGGCUGGCAGGGAAGGGGACGAGCUCCCACCGCUUGGAAGGUAAUUAGGAGGUUAACCAGGACGGGACUGUAACCCUGUGUAAGUGGGAGUCAGGGGUGACCUCUGGGUUUCCGGCUUGCAAAACGGGUGGGGUGCUGAGGAGGCCGGG